AUUUCACCAUAUCAUUAUUCACAUAAUAUCUGUUUAUGCCUGCAUUUUCAGGUUUCCCAUUACCUCCCAGUGCCCCUCCUCCUAUGAUACCACCAUUAGAUAGUGGACGUUUGGCAGGAGGCUAUGAUCGACGCUCAGCUACAUCUUACCCAUUCUCUGCAGGUGUGUAUUCACCUGCAGUGGGCAUGGCUUUAUGGUCAGGUGUGAUAGACAGUGGAAAAGCAUGGGAAAACUACAACCGCCAUAACAAAGAAAGGGUGAGAGAGAAAACCAGAGAAAGAGGACACAAGAAAGAGCGGGAGAGAGAGCGGUAUAGAGAAACAGAUAGAGAACACAGUCCGUCCUCACAAGAUCACAGAAGUGUGGAGGAGUGUCUCGACACAGGGAUCACAGUCAUUAUGGAAGCGAGAGGUACAGGGAAAGCUCGGGAAGAGACGGAAUGA
RNAcentral lists this long non-coding RNA (443 nucleotides) under Sinocyclocheilus rhinocerous. RNAcentral's name for it is "lncRNA (ENSSRHG00000049612.1)". The record is from RNAcentral. Lineage: Eukaryota; Metazoa; Chordata; Actinopteri; Cypriniformes; Cyprinidae.